This 253-nucleotide ribosomal RNA is filed under the name uncultured Lachnospiraceae bacterium. RNAcentral describes it as "partial 16S ribosomal RNA". It matches the Rfam family "Bacterial small subunit ribosomal RNA", at positions 524 to 776 of the family's 1533-position model. The record is from RNAcentral. Lineage: Bacteria; Bacillati; Bacillota; Clostridia; Lachnospirales; Lachnospiraceae.
UACGUAGGGGGCAAGCGUUAUCCGGAAUUACUGGGUGUAAAGGGAGCGUAGGCGGCUUAGUAAGUCAGAAGUGAAAGCCCGCAGCUCAACUGCGGGACUGCUUUUGAAACUGCCAGGCUAGAGUGUCGGAGAGGUAAGUGGAAUUCCUGGUGUAGCGGUGAAAUGCGUAGAUAUCAGGAGGAACACCGGUGGCGAAGGCGGCCUGCUGGACAGUAACUGACGUUGAGGCUCGAAAGCGUGGGGAGCAAACAGG